This 1534-nucleotide ribosomal RNA is filed under the name uncultured bacterium. Its description in RNAcentral is "bacterial SSU rRNA". It matches the Rfam family "Bacterial small subunit ribosomal RNA". The record is from RNAcentral.
GAGAGUUUGAUCCUGGCUCAGGACGAACGCUGGCGGCGUGCUUAACACAUGCAAGUCGAACGGAGCUAUUUAUUUCGGUAAAUCGCUUAGUGGCAAACGGGUGAGUAACGCGUAGGCAACCUGCCCUCGGGAUGGGGACAACGGCUCGAAAGAGCCGCUAAUACCGAAUGACGUAUCUUUCUCACAUGGGGAGGAUACUAAAGAUGGGUCAAACCAUCGCCCGAGGAUGGGCCUGCGUCUGAUUAGCCAGUUGGUGAGGUAACGGCUCACCAAAGCAACGAUCAGUAGCCGGUCUGAGAGGAUGAACGGCCACAAUGGGACUGAGACACGGCCCAUACUCCUACGGGAGGCAGCAGUGGGGAAUCUUCCGCAAUGGGCGCAAGCCUGACGGAGCAACGCCGCGUGAGUGAAGAAGGUCUUCGGAUCGUAAAGCUCUGUUGUCGGGGACGAAAGAGUAGACGAGGCAAUGCGUCUAUUAAGACGGUACCCGACGAGGAAGCCACGGCUAACUACGUGCCAGCAGCCGCGGUAAUACGUAGGCGGCAAGCGUUGUCCGGAAUUAUUGGGCGUAAAGGGAGCGCAGGUGGGACGGUAAGUCUGUCUUAAAAGGCAAGGGCUCAGCCCCUGUAAGGGACAGAAACUAUCGUUCUUGAGUGCCGGAGAGGAAAGUGGAAUUCCUAGUGUAGCGGUGAAAUGCGUAGAUAUUAGGAGGAAUACCGGUGGCGAAGGCGACUUUCUGGACUUUUACUGACGCUCAGGUACGAAAGCGUGGGGAGCAAACAGGAUUAGAUACCCUGGUAGUCCGCGCAGUCAACGAUGUGCACUGGGCGUCCGCGCGAGCGCGUGGGUGCCGCAGCAAACGCGGUAAGUGCACCGCCUGGGGAGUAUGCCCGCAAGGGUGAAACUCAAAGGAAUUGACGGGGGCCCGCACAAGCGGUGGAGCAUGUGGUUUAAUUCGAUGGUACGCGAGGAACCUUACCUGGGCUUGACACGCGCGGGGAGCGCCGGGAGACCGGCGCGCGUGGAGACACGACCGCGCGCAGGUGCUGCAUGGCUGCCGUCAGCUCGUGCCGUGAGGUGUUGGGUUAAGUCCCGCAACGAGCGCAACCCCUACCGCCGGUUGCCAUCAGGUGAAGCUGGGCACUCGGGCGGAACUGCCCGCGACAAGCGGGAGGAAGGCGGGGACGACGUCAAGUCAUCAUGGCCCUUAUGUCCAGGGCUACACACGUGCUACAAUGGCCGGUACAGAGCGGGGCGAGGCCGCGAGGCGGAGCAGAGCGCUGAAAGCCGGCCGUAGUUCGGAUUGGAGUCUGAAACCCGACUCCAUGAAGCUGGAAUCGCUAGUAAUCGCGCAUCAGCACGGCGCGGUGAAUACGUUCCCGGGCCUUGUACACACCGCCCGUCACACCAUCCGAGUGGGGGGUACCCGAAGCCGGCAGUCCAACCGCGAGGGGGACGCUGUCGAAGGUACGUCCCGUGAGGGGGGUGAAGUCGUAACAAGGUAGUCGUACCGGAAGGUGCGGCUGGAACACCU